UUGCGGGACCCCCAACCGGAGAGCCUCCGGUUAUUGGUUCACCCCGGCAUUUCACCGGUCCCGCCACAUAACGACGUCAGUUUGCCGACUUCCCGAUUUUAAGAGGAAGGUGAUGGCGCCUCAGCUCGUCCUGAGGCGUCCUGUAAGUCAGGCAACCAGCGAGACCCACUUCUAGUGCCACAAUCCCUUAGGAGUUGGGACACUGAGACUUCCGCUCUAACGAGAAGAACGGGAACGGUAGGUCAGUAUGCCCCGAAUGGACCGGGCAACACGCGGGCUACAAUGGCCGUACAGAGGGAUGAACACCGAGAGGUGACGCUAAUCUCUAAACGCGGUCGUAGUUCGAUUGCGGGCUGAAACUCGCCCGCAUGAAGCUGAUUCGGUACGUAAUCGCGUAUCAUAAUGUGCGCGGGAAUACGUCCCUGCUCCUUGCACACACCGCCCGUCAAAGCACCCGACGUGGGGUCCGAUGAGGCCAUCAUGCGAUGGUCGAAUCUUGGGCUCCGCAAGGGGGCUUAAGUCGUACACCAAGGACAGCACAGAAUCCCCGGGCCAAUGGAAACCGGACCUUUUCUCUUCGAAGUCCAAGAAACAGCAUGCCUU
This 603-nucleotide ribosomal RNA is filed under the name uncultured archaeon. Its description in RNAcentral is "bacterial SSU rRNA". It matches the Rfam family "Archaeal small subunit ribosomal RNA", at positions 871 to 1478 of the family's 1478-position model. The record is from RNAcentral.